AAUUGAUCGAAUAUUUAUGUAUUCAAUUUAAAAGUAUGAGACUUGAUUGAACAUGUAGAUUAAUUUAAUUAAGAAUUAAGUUAUAGGUCAUAUAGAAUCAAACACUGACUAUGUUUAGCUAGCACUGCGCAUGAGGUGUGGAUUUGAUUUCGAAGAUUAGUUAAAUUAAAUUAAUAACUCAAGUAAUUAUGAGAGAUUCAAUUUGAGUCCUAAUUACUUUUGAUC
Molecule: long non-coding RNA, 225 nt
Filed under: Elaeis guineensis (African oil palm)
Lineage: Eukaryota; Viridiplantae; Streptophyta; Magnoliopsida; Arecales; Arecaceae
Description: long non-coding RNA (EGUI_LNC012805)
Source: RNAcentral